Molecule: long non-coding RNA, 523 nt
Filed under: Monodelphis domestica (gray short-tailed opossum)
Lineage: Eukaryota; Metazoa; Chordata; Mammalia; Didelphimorphia; Didelphidae
Description: lncRNA (ENSMODG00000038774.1)
Source: RNAcentral
AGAAAAUGAAAACAAAACAAAACACCAAAGUCAUUGCCCCUGAAGCAACUAUAAUUUUCUUUUCUUCUCAGAUGAACCCCACCUUCUCCACCAGCGAAUUUUAGAUUUAUUGGAUUUCUCCUAGCCACCAAGAAAAAUGAAUUUGAAGAGAUUCAACUUCUUACCUUCAACCUUUUUUCGCAGAGAGGUGGCUCUGGCGGCAGCGUGCUGAGCAUCUUGGCAUCUUGGCGCGAUGGCAACUAUUGUCUGGGUUUGGUGAGGUCCCUUCCAGGCUGGGUUUUUAUAGUACUUCAGAAAGUGGAAUCCCUUUUACAACUGGCUUCUAGGAAGCUGGAAGACAGAUAUGAUGGCCAAUUGGAAAUUGUUCCAGUCCUUCUGUUCCACUGGGUCAGGUGAGAAAACAAUGGCAGUCAGGUGAGUUUCCCUUGGCGUAAACACCAUUUACUUUUCUUAGGUCACCAGGAUUCUAUUUAUUAUUGUUCCUGGUGAUUCAUCACAGAGUACCCAGUGACCUGAAAGUUGG